UGUUACAGCGAACAAGUGCUCCCUUUAAAUAGCUUUUUUGUUUUCAUCCUGCCAGUCCUUACAACAAUCCCUUACCACUGUGCACCAAUACAACCUAAAGUUGAAUUUCUGUAACAGUAGGAUUUACAAAAGUUCUUUUGAUUCUUAAUUAGUAUACGAGAUGUAGCACUUCUACACGAUUACUGUGUCCAUGUACUAUAUGGUUGUAUGCCUCUCAAAAUAAAGAUGACAUAUUUUCAGACUACCUUUUUCAAAAAGAAGGCUUCUCAAUUCUACUGCUACAAUUUAUUCGUACUAUCAU
Non-coding RNA from Schizosaccharomyces pombe (fission yeast), 301 nucleotides. Lineage: Eukaryota; Fungi; Ascomycota; Schizosaccharomycetes; Schizosaccharomycetales; Schizosaccharomycetaceae. The record is from the annotation of a GenBank genome assembly.